RNAcentral lists this unclassified non-coding RNA (1226 nucleotides) under Gigantopelta aegis. RNAcentral describes it as "uncharacterized LOC121386950, transcript variant X1". The record is from RNAcentral. Lineage: Eukaryota; Metazoa; Mollusca; Gastropoda; Neomphalida; Peltospiridae.
UUGGCUCCGCCCACAGGGGUAUAAGGGAUUUGUCCAACGGCAAACAACCAAUGAGAUUAAAGAAUUUUACAUGAAGGCGAGAUAAUAAGGUUUAAUAUAUUUAUCUCCUUAUGGUACUGUAGAAAGGACACACUACAACUUAGAAAAUAAUUAACGAGUUACGAGGAAUUAUGAAUUAUCUGUCCCGAGUGAAUGAAUGUUGUAAACCCGAGUUGGUUAUUCUCUUUAUUACCCAUUGUCGAUUUUAACCGAUUCUUAAUGUAAAAUUCUUCUGGGCCCGGUUGUUCGAAACCAGGGUUAACUUAAUCACUGAUUAACGCUAACUAUGAGUUAAAUUCCUUAACCCAGGGUUGGCUAAUCACUGGUUAAAAAUCCGUUGCUGAAACACACUUUUGACUCUGGGUUAGCAAACCCAGGGUUAGUUUUCACUAACCCAGGGUUAAUUGCAAUUGACCAAUGAAUGCAAAGUAAACAACUUCCCAUAAUUCUAUUCUUUAUUUACUUCUGUAAAAUUUGUUCGUCUGCUAGGUCAUUUUUUAAGAGUUAAUUAAUUACACAAUGAAUAGCAAACGCAAUCCGAAUUUUGAUAUUCGCGAAGUCUCUGUUAUCGUGGACUAUGUGGCACAACAUAUAGAAACAUUAAUGGCGAAAUUGACUAACAGUGUUACAAACGAAAGAAAACAAAAGCUGUGGACUACGCCGACAGCUGAACUGAACUCUUUGGGUAUCGCACUAAGAAACCCGACACAGGUGAAAGAGAAAUGGAGAAAUUUGUACGCGGCAGCAAAAAAAAACAGAAUGCCGAGAGAAUUAAGUGUACGCGUUUGACAGGUGGGGGACCCGCCCCCAAAGAACUGUCGCCAGUGACGGCGAAAAUCGUCGACAUUUUUGCGGAUGACCCCAGCUUCAUUGGGCUUCCAGACGGUCUGGAGACCAUCAUUGGUCCCAUCGAAAAGUCAUUGACUAAUGAACAAAAGAGUGUUGAUGAAGAAGUGGAAGAAGACAUUAGUGACUUAAACCUCAGUGAUGAAACACCAUUCGCCCCAGGUAGCAGCUAUGUGGACAUGAGCACUAGUCCAAAUGAGGUUCAGCCGGAGCCGAAACGUCACAAAAUAUGGAAAACCCCAGAAAAAGGAAAUAUUCUUUGAUGAAAUCCGGUGGACAACAUAAUGAUGUUGAUCAUUUGAAGAAAACAAGAACAGGAAUGCCUGGAGAUGAGCUUAAAA